This is a long non-coding RNA of Melanotaenia boesemani (Boeseman's rainbowfish), 489 nucleotides long. RefSeq lists it as uncharacterized. The transcript has 4 exons. The record is from RefSeq and is a predicted model, not a curated record. Lineage: Eukaryota; Metazoa; Chordata; Actinopteri; Atheriniformes; Melanotaeniidae.
AUAGAGAGGGUGAUGGGGUGGCCGAUGGACAGGGUGAUGGGGUUGUAGAUAGACAGGGUGAUGGGGUGGCGGAUAGACAGUGUGAUGAGGUCACAGAUAGACAGGGUGAUGGGGUGACAGAUAGAUAGGGUGAUGGGGUGACAGAUAGACAGUGUGAUUGGGUGACAGAGAGACAGGGUGAUAGGGUUGCAGAUGGACAGGGUGAUGAGGUGAAAGAUAGACAGGGUGAUGGGGUGACAGAUAGACAGAGUGAUGGGGUGAAAGAUAGACAGGGCGAUGAGGUGACAGAUAGACAGGGUGAUGAGGUGACAGAUAGACAGGGUGAUGAGGUGACAGAUAGACAGAGUGAUGGGGUGAAAGAUAGACAGGGCGAUGAGCUGACAGAUAGACAGGGUGAUGGGGUGGGAGAUUGAUGGGGUGAUGAGGUGACUGAUAGACAGGGUGAUGGGGUGGCCGAUGGACAGUGUGAUGGGGUGACAGAUAGACAGG